Molecule: ribosomal RNA, 253 nt
Filed under: uncultured prokaryote
Description: partial 16S ribosomal RNA
Rfam family: Bacterial small subunit ribosomal RNA
Source: RNAcentral
UACGUAGGUGGCAAGCGUUGUCCGGAAUUAUUGGGCGUAAAGGGCUCGCAGGCGGUUUCUUAAGUCUGAUGUGAAAGCCCCCGGCUCAACCGGGGAGGGUCAUUGGAAACUGGGAAACUUGAGUGCAGAAGAGGAGAGUGGAAUUCCACGUGUAGCGGUGAAAUGCGUAGAGAUGUGGAGGAACACCAAUGGCGAAGGCAGCCCCCUGGGUCGAUACUGACGCUCAUGCACGAAAGCGUGGGUAGCAAACAGG